ACGAACGCUGGCGGCAUGGAUUAGGCAUGCAAGUCGAACGGUGACAGCAAUGUCAUAGUGGCGCAAGGGUGAGGAACGCGUGAGUGAUCUACCUUCAAGUUUGGAAUAGCUCCUGGAAACGGGAAUUAAUACCGGAUGUGAUUAUGAGGCUGCAUGGUCUUAUAAUUAAAGCAGCAAUGCGCUUGUAGAGGAGCUCGCGUCCCAUUAGCUAGUUGGUGAGGUAAUGGCCCACCAAGGCGAUGAUGGGUAGCUGGUCUGAGAGGACGACCAGCCACACUGGGACUGAGAACUGCCCAGACUCCUACGGGAGGCUGCAGUCGAGAAUUUUGGGCAAUGGACGAAAGUCUGACCCAGCAAUGCCGCGUGCGGGAUGAAGGUCUUCGGAUUGUAAACCGCUGUCGAGGGGGACGAAAUAUGACGGUACCCCUGGAGGAAGCCACGGCUAACUACGU
RNAcentral lists this ribosomal RNA (452 nucleotides) under uncultured bacterium. Its description in RNAcentral is "bacterial SSU rRNA". It matches the Rfam family "Bacterial small subunit ribosomal RNA", at positions 29 to 506 of the family's 1533-position model. The record is from RNAcentral.